GCCCCUAUCGCAUAAUGGUAUUGCACCGGUCUUGAGAACCGGGCCCUAUGGGCCUCCAGGUUCGAUUCCUGGUGGGGGCG
Molecule: non-coding RNA, 80 nt
Organism: Candidatus Pacearchaeota archaeon RBG_16_35_8
Lineage: Archaea; Nanobdellati
Source: Rfam